RNAcentral lists this ribosomal RNA (495 nucleotides) under uncultured bacterium. Its description in RNAcentral is "partial 16S ribosomal RNA". It matches the Rfam family "Bacterial small subunit ribosomal RNA", at positions 28 to 507 of the family's 1533-position model. The record is from RNAcentral.
GACGAACGCUGGCGGCGUGCCUAAUACAUGCAAGUAGAACGCUGAAGGAGGAGCUUGCUUCUCUGGAUGAGUUGCGAACGGGUGAGUAACGCGUAGGUAACCUGCCUGGUAGCGGGGGAUAACUAUUGGAAACGAUAGCUAAUACCGCAUAAGAGUAGAUGUUGCAUGACAUUUGCUUAAAAGGUGCAAUUGCAUCACUACCAGAUGGACCUGCGUUGUAUUAGCUAGUUGGUGGGGUAACGGCUCACCAAGGCGACGAUACAUAGCCGACCUGAGAGGGGGAGCGGCCACACUGGGACUGAGACACGGCCCAGACUCCUACGGGAGGCAGCAGUAGGGAAUCUUCGGCAAUGGACGGAAGUCUGACCGAGCAACGCCGCGUGAGUGAAGAAGGUUUUCGGAUCGUAAAGCUCGGUUGUAAGAGAAGAACGAGUGCGAGAGUGGAAAGUUCACACUGUGACGGUAUCUUACCAGAAAGGGACGGCUAACUACGUG